This 120-nucleotide small RNA is filed under the name Marmota monax (woodchuck). Lineage: Eukaryota; Metazoa; Chordata; Mammalia; Rodentia; Sciuridae. The record is from RNAcentral.
GCCAGGUGCAGUGGUGCAUGCCUGUAAUCUUAGCGGCUCAGAGGCUGAGACAGGAGGAUUAGGGCUUCAAAGCCAGCUUCAGCAAUAGCGAGGCCGCAACUCAGUGAGAUCCUGUCUUUA